Long non-coding RNA from Lolium rigidum, 2860 nucleotides. RefSeq lists it as uncharacterized. Lineage: Eukaryota; Viridiplantae; Streptophyta; Magnoliopsida; Poales; Poaceae. The record is from RefSeq and is a predicted model, not a curated record. The transcript is spliced from 2 exons.
GAGAAGCGAAAAUAUCAGCCGCUUUUUUAUCUGAACAACUCACUCACGCCUGGAACAAGAAAAUCCCUCCCAAUCCCUGCUCGAACCUCCAUUGCCCGACUGUUGUGCCGCCAUUCCGCGGCCACCUGCCAUCCCCUCGGAGUUGAGGAAGGGGUGGAGCCGCCCAGUUGCAAACCCUAACUGCUCCCCGCCUUGAAUUAGUGGUGGCGACGGUCGGCGGGAGGUCUCUAGGGAGGAAGAGAUCUAGGAUCUUGGAGACUGGUGAGCUUUGCCAUCACCUACCCUGACAAAUUCUAUGUUGCCUUGGCCUGCGCCGGGUUCGGCACCAGCUGGACCACCUCGUCCUCCGCAGUCGUCGAUAGCAGGAUUGAGCAUCUGCGCCACAACGAUCCGCCUAUGCCCAUGUACCCGGACGCCGCUGGACAACAUGAUCUGGUUCGCAACCUUUGCCCCUACCCUGCCUAGGACGAUGAGUCCGGUAAGCUCCGCCCUGGACUAGAGGAAGGAUCCCACAUCCAUCAGUUUGCUGCAAGAUCCGGGCCGAAGAGACAUGGUGAACUGGCUUUCGACUGCACCUUGGCAUCGUGAGAUCCACACUACUGGCAAGUUUGACCUCUGCAUCGUGAGAUCCAGACAACAGGCAAGUUUGAUGAAUUCCCUCUUUUCUCUUUCUUUUAACUAAGCCAUGGUAUUUGCAUAUUUAUAAUUGCUGGUUUGGUAUGCCUUCCACCACCAGUAAGUGAUAUGAUUAGUACCCAUAGAUUCGUGGUGGUUCUUUUUUGUGUUUGGUGAUUGCGUUGUUAUUUAAAGUACAAAUGAUUGUACAAAGUAUGGAGUACACUUGACACUUGAUUGAAUCAAACAUGUCAUUUGUUGAUAUCUGAACUGGGUGAUUGCUGGUACAUACACCUCUAGCAAACUGCACAAUAAUGCUAUUUUCAGUUAUUUGUCAGUAAUAGGUUCCACUGCCAGAGGCACAGCCUGAUGUUGGAGGCGUCGAGUCCAUUGCGGGAUCUGCCACCACUGCUGGCAAUCCAUGCUCGGUGCGGACAGUGCCGAAGAAUCUCUCAGUCUUGGUCCUUUAUUUAUCUUCAGCCAAUGCAGAAACUGAGCCGACAAGGGAAUAGUCCCAGUGUAGCUUAUUUAAUGUCAAUGUAGUUUAAGGUACAUACUACAACGUACUUGGUUUUGAUAUUUGCUUCCUAAGUAUAAAUACUUUAGAUACAUAGUAUUUACUUCUAACACAACAUUGUAUUAAACCUCUUAAUUCAGCCUACUCUUGCUGUGAUUCAUUCCGCUGACCUCUGCUCUUUUCUCGACGCUGUUCAAUGUUUAGUGUAAAUAUCCAAUAGUUCACACAUAAACUAAAGAGAGGACUUUUGAUGCCCAAGUCGUAGUUAGUUCACUUUCGUUGCUUUGUGCUAGCUGCAUACUCUAACCAGAUUAUAAUCAUCCAAUGUCAAUACACAAUUUUUCUAGCAAAGAAACCUGUAAACCGGUGCUUUGUAUAGUGAAAAUAUCAUUUGUUUCAGAUAUAUACAUAUAUCUCUUUAGAGAUUCUUGCAUGGUGAGUUGUAGGAUGGAGGUACCUGCGUGUCCUCAUAUGUCAGAGGUUGGUCCCUGGCCUCAUGGAUCUAAGGGAGCCCCCCAUGUCGGGGGGCCUGAGCCACUACCGUAUCGUCUUGCUCCGAGCUGGAGACGGGGAGCCCCGCCACCAACACUGAAGAAUUUCUAUGUCGGGACUAGGAAGGAAGGAUCGAGCGUCUAGAUCCGGAUGGAUUCAAUCAUCUCCUCGUCGCAUGUGACCGAAGCCCACGAUCUGGGAUGGCUCUGGUGCUCCAGUAGCAAAGAAAGUUUUGCCCCUCAGAACUUUCUGGUUUGAUUUACUGUAUUCCUCUACUUUAAUCCCCUUGGUUCUAACUUGAUGAUAUACAUGAAUGCCAACUAAGAUGGCUUGACUCUUUCAUGCGCUUAGGUUCAUUUUCAAGGAUUCAAGUGAAUAGGUUGUUCAAUCUAUUAAGUAUGUCACGUACAGAUGACAGUGAUGAUAUUACAGCUUGGUAACUUCCCGUGGUGAUGCAUAUUAAUAGUUUUUUCUAUGGAAUACAUAUUCCCAUAUCUUAAGAUUCAAUAUACUAGGCACUGAUCACUAAUGAUGUCUUAAGCCAGAACAAGUUUAUAAAUACAAGGAAAGUUUACACUGAAACUGGAAAAGCAUGCAUCUUCCUCGCUGUAUAAUGGUACAAUUUGUGUUAUGCUCAAUUAUUCCAAUUAACAAUCUAUACUUGAGGUUAGUUUGAGUUUGCAGUUAACCUUUCUUCGAUUAGUUCAAUUCCACUUCUCAUAAUUGAUUUUCUAUCUUUGUCCUCCCACCAGAAACAGUUGAACUGUAUGGACUGCCAACAUGCGUGAUAUGCAAUCAUAAAUAUGCGAUGAGGCCAAUCAGGGGUGUAAUGUAUAAGUUUUCAGCGGUGCCUACAGUAGCCUAUCAAAUUAACCUUUAAAUGUGCAACUGGGCAGUACAGAGGACUUGGAAUCUUUCCCAAAAAAGAAUACUCUGCUUACCUGGUGUAGUUCUUCCGAUAUGUCAAUUUAAGAUUAAAAGUAAUGGAAAACAACAGGAAUGGAAAGAUGUAGUAAAACGAUACACCGUGAUCUGGUGGGGAUGAUGAAAGGAUUUGUAACAGAUACAAAUAUUAGGUUUAGAUUAUAAGAUAUUCUUUUUAGCUGUUGUUUGCCCUUUGAACUAUUUGUAAUGACAAAUUGGCAUAGUGGCAAUUUAGUACCACUGCAUGUCCUGCUGCUCCAUAUUUGGAACAUAUGGCUUGAGUUGUAAAUAACAUGGGCACUACUCUUUCAA